Molecule: ribosomal RNA, 245 nt
Filed under: uncultured bacterium
Lineage: Bacteria
Description: partial 16S ribosomal RNA
Rfam family: Bacterial small subunit ribosomal RNA
Source: RNAcentral
GACAGAGGGUGCAAGCGUUGUUCGGAAUUACUGGGCGUAAAGCGCAUGUAGGCGGUGAAGCAUGUCAAGUGUGAAAUCCCAUGGCUCAACCAUGGAAGAGCACUCGAAACUGCUUUGCUAGAGUGUGGAAGAGGAAGGUGGAAUUCCUGGUGUAGAGGUGAAAUUCGUAGAUAUCAGGAGGAACACCCGUGGCGAAGGCGGCCUUCUGGUCCAUUACUGACGCUGAGAUGCGAAAGCGUGGGGAG